GCCCUGGUAGCUCAAUUGGUUAGAGCGUCGGACUUUUAUUCCACUUCGUGGCUGGCCAUCCGAAGGCUGCGGGUUCGACCCCCGCCUGGGGCG
This is a non-coding RNA of Xylaria sp. FL0043, 93 nucleotides long. NCBI's taxonomy places the organism in Eukaryota, Fungi, Ascomycota, Sordariomycetes, Xylariales, Xylariaceae. The record is from the annotation of a GenBank genome assembly.